UCCCAAAGUAAGAUCAAUAUGAUGCUGAAUAUCUCUUUCCAGUGGUAAUCCUAUAGGCAAAUCUUCAGAAAAAAAUAUCAACAAAUUCUUGAAGGAUAGAACAUACAAUAGAUGGGAUUUCUUGCUCAGCUAACUCACCCUUCUCCACCACUACCAAGAAAUAGCUAGUCUCUAUUGCUUCUUUCAAGUAAGAGUGCUUCAUCAGAAGGUUG
Molecule: long non-coding RNA, 212 nt
Filed under: Elaeis guineensis (African oil palm)
Lineage: Eukaryota; Viridiplantae; Streptophyta; Magnoliopsida; Arecales; Arecaceae
Description: long non-coding RNA (EGUI_LNC075097)
Source: RNAcentral